GUUUUUGUAGUUGAGGAAUUCAACGACGGUUUUUCAGGCCGUAGACCUUGGAUAGGCUCCAAGCAAGAACU
Molecule: transfer RNA, 71 nt
Filed under: Forpus passerinus (green-rumped parrotlet)
Lineage: Eukaryota; Metazoa; Chordata; Aves; Psittaciformes; Psittacidae
Description: tRNA-Glu
Source: RNAcentral